RNAcentral lists this ribosomal RNA (851 nucleotides) under uncultured bacterium. RNAcentral describes it as "bacterial SSU rRNA". It matches the Rfam family "Bacterial small subunit ribosomal RNA", at positions 57 to 914 of the family's 1533-position model. The record is from RNAcentral.
AUUAGUCGAACGGUUGCUAGCAAUAGCAAUAGUGGCGCACGGGUGCGUAACGCGUAACCAACCUACCCGAAUCUGGGGGAUAGCCCGCCGAAAGGCGGAUUAAUACCGCAUAAAACCACAGAGUGGCAUCACUUAAUGGUUAAAGAUUUAUUGGAUUCGGAUGGGGUUGCGUGCCAUUAGCUAGUUGGGGGGGUAACGGCCCACCAAGGCGACGAUGGCUAGGGGAGCUGAGAGGCUGGUCCCCCACACGGGCACUGAGAUACGGGCCCGACUCCUACGGGAGGCAGCAGUAGGGAAUAUUGGGCAAUGGGCGAGAGCCUGACCCAGCCAUGCCGCGUGCAGGAUGAAGGCUUUCUGAGUCGUAAACUGCUUUUGCCAGGGAAGAAAAAGGGGCGGGCGCGCUCUACUGACGGUACCUGGUGAAUAAGCACCGGCUAACUCCGUGCCAGCAGCCGCGGUAAUACGGAGGGUGCAAGCGUUGUCCGGAUUUAUUGGGUUUAAAGGGUGCGUAGGCGGUUCUUUAAGUCUGGGGUGAAAGCCCGUUGCUCAACAACGGAACUGCCCUGGAAACUGGAGGACUUGAGUACAGACGAGGGUGGCGGAAUGGAUGCUGUAGCGGUGAAAUGCAUAGAUAGCAUCCAGAACCCCGAUUGCGAAGGCAGCUGCCUAGACUGUAGCUGACGCUGAGGCACGAAAGCGUGGGGAGCGAACAGGAUUAGAUACCCUGGUAGUCCACGCCGUAAACGAUGGAUACUCGCUGGUGGCGAUAGACGGUCACUGGCUUAGCGAAAGCGUUAAGUAUCCCACCUGGGGGAGUACGCUUCGCAAGAGUGAAACUCAAAAGAAUUGAC